UACGGGGGGGGCAAGCGUUGUUCGGAAUUACUGGGCGUAAAGGGCUCGUAGGCGGCCAACUAAGUCAGACGUGAAAUCCCUCGGCUUAACCGGGGAACUGCAUCUGAUACUGGAUGGCUUGAGUUCGGGAGAGGGAUGCGGAAUUCCAGGUGUAGCGGUGAAAUGCGUAGAUAUCAGGAGGAACACCGGUGGCGAAGGCGGAUCUCUGGGCCAUUACUGACGCUGAGGAGCGAAAGCGUGGGGAGCGAACAGG
RNAcentral lists this ribosomal RNA (253 nucleotides) under uncultured bacterium. RNAcentral's name for it is "partial 16S ribosomal RNA". It matches the Rfam family "Bacterial small subunit ribosomal RNA", at positions 524 to 776 of the family's 1533-position model. The record is from RNAcentral.